GGGGCAAAAAGGAGUGGGUUUUCUUUUUUCAAGUUCUCACAGCUCUAAUAAGAUGGUUUUGGCAAAGGACUGCUUGCCAGUGUACUCUUGGCAACCGACUUAUUCCUCUAAGUUAGUAGGAACUGUAGGUAAAUUAUGAACAGACACGCAUCUUUAACCAAACUUCUGGUGGCUUAGCCUUGAGAUGUCAGCCUGCAACUGCUUGGAAGGGGACACAUCACAGUGGGAUAGCAUAACUACAGCAGAGAUUCCUCCUAGGUCUUGUGAGAGAGCAGUAGGAAAUGGAAGAGACUUUUUUUCCCUCCCAAGCAGGUGGCCAACAUGGAUGUUCAAAGGACACAAACUAUACACCACCGUAGUUCUGGCCACAUGCUACUCCUUGCACCUCUGACUCUCUCUUGGAACACUUGAAUUAUUCAGGACACAUGGCACAUCCCUGCACACAGGCAAGCCGUGUAGCAGCCCAGGGCAAACAAACUGAGGGCCUUUAGUGUGAGAAUGGCAGUUCUGUAGCUUUAAGAAGGAGCUGGUGCGCCCUGCAGCAGAAAAGCCUGUAGACUCAGCUGUGUUCUUACCUCACUUUCCCUUCUGCAGUGACCUCACCCUGCCACAAUGCUACUAUUCAUGCAGAUGGAGUGAAACGCUGCAUACAAAAGUUUCAUUUAGUCACAUCAACAUGAAUAUUUAGCCUGUUUGAUUAAAAAUGAAAGCUAGAU
This 716-nucleotide long non-coding RNA is filed under the name Bos taurus (domestic cattle). RNAcentral's name for it is "long non-coding RNA NONBTAT019819". Lineage: Eukaryota; Metazoa; Chordata; Mammalia; Artiodactyla; Bovidae. The record is from RNAcentral.